GCCGUCCGCGCCCGACAGGACGGGCACCCGGCUUUUACCCGGGAGUGAAGGGGUUCGAGUCCUCUGGGCGGCAC
RNAcentral lists this transfer RNA (74 nucleotides) under Paraplanobispora siamensis. RNAcentral's name for it is "Planobispora siamensis tRNA-Lys". It matches the Rfam family "tRNA". Rfam says of the family: Transfer RNA (tRNA) molecules are approximately 80 nucleotides in length. Their secondary structure includes four short double-helical elements and three loops (D, anti-codon, and T loops). Lineage: Bacteria; Bacillati; Actinomycetota; Actinomycetes; Streptosporangiales; Streptosporangiaceae. The record is from RNAcentral.